This 69-nucleotide transfer RNA is filed under the name Trichys fasciculata (long-tailed porcupine). RNAcentral's name for it is "tRNA-Thr". The record is from RNAcentral. Lineage: Eukaryota; Metazoa; Chordata; Mammalia; Rodentia; Hystricidae.
GUCCUUGUAGUAUAAAAAUUACCUUGGUCUUGUAAACCAAAAACGGAGACCCACUAACUCCCGAGGACA